CAGUAGCCGCGGAAAUACAGAGGGUGCGAGCGUUAAUCGGAUUUACUGGGCGUAAAGCGUGCGUAGGCGGCUUCUUAAGUCGGAUGUGAAAUCCCUGAGCUUAACUUAGGAAUUGCAUUCGAUACUGGGAAGCUAGAGUAUGGGAGAGGAUGGUAGAAUUCCAGGUGUAGCGGUGAAAUGCGUAGAGAUCUGGAGGAAUACCGAUGGCGAAGGCAGCCAUCUGGCCUAAUACUGACGCUGAGGUACGAAAGCAUGGGGAGCAAACAGGAUUAGAUACCCGCGUAGUCCCUGUCUCUUAUAC
This 301-nucleotide ribosomal RNA is filed under the name uncultured bacterium. Its description in RNAcentral is "partial 16S ribosomal RNA". It matches the Rfam family "Bacterial small subunit ribosomal RNA", at positions 509 to 807 of the family's 1533-position model. The record is from RNAcentral.